Gasterosteus aculeatus aculeatus (three-spined stickleback) is the source of this 832-nucleotide long non-coding RNA. NCBI's taxonomy places the organism in Eukaryota, Metazoa, Chordata, Actinopteri, Perciformes, Gasterosteidae. The record is from Ensembl.
CCCAAAUCCCGUGGGUUCUCGUUAUGUGAUCUUUGCCGCGCUCUGCCUCGGCAUCGCACUGCCGUGUCAUAGCAACCGCAGCUUCCCUUGGAAACGAAACGGUUACCCCGGUAACAGCGCGCACCUGCUGCUGCUGUUUCACUUCUGGAGACGCACGCAGACAAAACGAUGGUCGGAAAUGUAUUGGGACAUUUGUCUACGAUGUUGUUUUUCUAAAAUGUUCCGAAAUCUCCCGGUGAGGUUUUAACGACCUCACAGCCGAGUUUGUGCCGCUUAUUGCGUCUCGACGCUCGUGGACAUUUUGUGUCUCGGCUGCUAACGAUAAACGCGCGUGAAUACUGACAGAGAAAAACAGAGCAAAGCCCGGCUGUGGAGACGGAGGAACUAGAGCCAAAAGAGGAAGAAAAGUCGCAGCAGACCACCGCCUCUCCACCUCCAAGUCCUGAACCAGUUCAGAUUGCUGCGCCGGAACCAGAACCAGAACCAGAACCAGAACCAGAACCAGAGCCAGAGGUCGAGCCCCAGGAAGCGCACUCAGAAGCCGAGCCUGUGACCCAGCAGCCACAGAGAGCAGAGGAAGGCGGUCAAAGCACUGAGGCGGACAAAGCUGGUGAAAAAUUUUACUUUACCCUACAUCCUUGACCAGCAUCAACAUGGCAGAUAACAUCUUCUGCCGUACAACCCUUUCCACCAGUUAUACCUAUAAUCAUUAUCUUAUCUUAUCAAAUGAUCUAGCCAUGGGACUCUGACAUGUUUAGCCCAUGCAGGACCGAAGGGAGAAACCAAUUCAUGUAAUUGAAUAGCUUCAGGCUCAUUCAAAUUCAUACGUACG